Molecule: transfer RNA, 76 nt
Filed under: Bifidobacterium phasiani
Lineage: Bacteria; Bacillati; Actinomycetota; Actinomycetes; Bifidobacteriales; Bifidobacteriaceae
Description: Bifidobacterium sp. 6T3 tRNA-His
Rfam family: tRNA
About the family: Transfer RNA (tRNA) molecules are approximately 80 nucleotides in length. Their secondary structure includes four short double-helical elements and three loops (D, anti-codon, and T loops).
Source: RNAcentral
GUGGAUAUAGCUCAGCCGGUAGAGCAGCUGAUUGUGGUUCAGCAGGUCGCGCGUUCGAGUCGCGUUAUCCACCCCA